AGGUACUCCUGCCUCUGGCUGUCGAGCGGAGCGCCGCCGCGCCGCCGCACCUUCUCCCGUCCCCGCCGACCCGCCGAACACCGACCCUAGGACUCCCAUGCCGCUGGCGCAGUGCACGACCCGGCCAUUCGGAUAUCGUGCUGGCCUCGCCCCGUCGUCAUCAGCAGGCACAGCGGCUCCUGAAUCCAGUAGCCACGGCCGCACACAACACACGCCGGUAGGCGGCACACUUCACGCCUCCGAGCGAUGGCGCAG
RNAcentral lists this ribosomal RNA (255 nucleotides) under Triticum aestivum (bread wheat). Its description in RNAcentral is "partial small subunit ribosomal RNA". The record is from RNAcentral. Lineage: Eukaryota; Viridiplantae; Streptophyta; Magnoliopsida; Poales; Poaceae.